AACAUAAAUAACCCCAAAAACACGCAAGACUACACGAACUAAACCAUUCUCCCACCCUAGUAUGGGCGACAGAAAAGGAACUAGUGGAGCAAUAGAGAAAGUACCGCAAGGGAAAG
This 116-nucleotide ribosomal RNA is filed under the name Istiompax indica (black marlin). RNAcentral describes it as "partial 16S ribosomal RNA". The record is from RNAcentral. Lineage: Eukaryota; Metazoa; Chordata; Actinopteri; Istiophoriformes; Istiophoridae.